UGUGUAGGCGGUUGUUUAAGUUUGGUGUGAAAUCUCCCGGCUCAACUGGGAGGGUGCGCCGAAUACUGAGCGACUAGAGUGCGGGAGAGGAAAGUGGAAUUCCUGGUGUAGCGGUGAAAUGCGUAGAUAUCAGGAGGAACACCGGUGGUGUAGACGGCUUUCUGGACCGUAACUGACGCUGAGACACGAAAGCGUGGGUAGCAAACA
Molecule: ribosomal RNA, 207 nt
Filed under: uncultured bacterium
Lineage: Bacteria
Description: partial 16S ribosomal RNA
Rfam family: Bacterial small subunit ribosomal RNA
Source: RNAcentral